ACAAGUCGAGCGGGUAGCACAGAAGAGCUUGCUCUCGGGUGACGAGCGGCGGACGGGUGAGUAAUGUCUGGGAAACUGCCUGAUGGAGGGGGAUAACUACUGGAAACGGUAGCUAAUACCGCAUAACGUCGCAAGACCAAAGUGGGGGACCUUCGGGCCUCAUGCCAUCAGAUGUGCCCAGAUGGGAUUAGCUAGUAGGUGGGGUAACGGCUCACCUAGGCGACGAUCCCUAGCUGGUCUGAGAGGAUGACCAGCCACACUGGAACUGAGACACGGUCCAGACUCCUACGGGAGGCAGCAGUGGGGAAUAUUGCACAAUGGGCGCAAGCCUGAUGCAGCCAUGCCGCGUGUAUGAAGAAGGCCUUCGGGUUGUAAAGUACUUUCAGCGGGGAGGAAGGCGAUAAGGUUAAUAACCUUGUCGAUUGACGUUACCCGCAGAAGAAGCACCGGCUAACUCCGUGCCACCAGCCGCGGUAAUACGGAGGGUGCAAGCGUUAAUCGGAAUUACUGGGCGUAAAGCGCACGCAGGCGGUCUGUCAAGUCGGAUGUGAAAUCCCCGGGCUCAACCUGGGAACUGCAUUCGAAACUGGCNGGCUAGAGUCUUGUAGAGGGGGGUAGAAUUCCAGGUGUAGCGGUGAAAUGCGUAGAGAUCUGGAGGAAUACCGGUGGCGAAGGCGGCCCCCUNGACAAAACUGACGCUCAGGUGCGAAANCGUGGGGAGCAAACAGGAUUAGAUACCCUGGUAGUCCACGCCGUAAACGAUGUCGAUUUGGAGGUUGUGCCCUUGAGGCGUGGCUUCCGGAGCUAACGCGUUAAAUCGACCGCCUGGGGAGUACGGCCGCAAGGUUAAAACUCAAAUGAAUUGACGGGGGCCCGCACAAGCGGUGGAGCAUGUGGUUUAAUUCGAUGCAACGCGAAGAACCUUACCUGGUCUUGACAUCCACAGAACUUACCAGAGAUGGUUUGGUGCCUUCGGGAACUGUGAGACAGGUGCUGCAUGGCUGUCGUCAGCUCGUGUUGUGAAAUGUUGGGUUAAGUCCCGCAACGAGCGCAACCCUUAUCCUUUGUUGCCAGCGGUUAGGCCGGGAACUCAAAGGAGACUGCCAGUGAUAAACUGGAGGAAGGUGGGGAUGACGUCAAGUCAUCAUGGCCCUUACGACCAGGGCUACACACGUGCUACAAUGGCAUAUACAAAGAGAAGCGACCUCGCGAGAGCAAGCGGACCUCAUAAAGUAUGUCGUAGUCCGGAUUGGAGUCUGCAACUCGACUCCAUGAAGUCGGAAUCGCUAGUAAUCGUAGAUCAGAAUGCUACGGUGAAUACGUUCCCGGGCCUUGUACACACCGCCCGUCACACCAUGGGAGUGGGUUGCAAAAGAAGUAGGUAGCUUAACAU
Molecule: ribosomal RNA, 1393 nt
Filed under: Klebsiella pneumoniae
Lineage: Bacteria; Pseudomonadati; Pseudomonadota; Gammaproteobacteria; Enterobacterales; Enterobacteriaceae
Description: bacterial SSU rRNA
Rfam family: Bacterial small subunit ribosomal RNA
Source: RNAcentral